GGGCUCGUAGCUCAGCGGUAGAGCACCUCGCUUACACCGAGGGAGUCGGCGGUUCGAACCCGUCCGGGCCCA
This 72-nucleotide transfer RNA is filed under the name Motilibacter aurantiacus. RNAcentral's name for it is "tRNA-Val". It matches the Rfam family "tRNA". Rfam says of the family: Transfer RNA (tRNA) molecules are approximately 80 nucleotides in length. Lineage: Bacteria; Bacillati; Actinomycetota; Actinomycetes; Motilibacterales; Motilibacteraceae. RNAcentral also lists the same sequence under 1 other name. The record is from RNAcentral.